RNAcentral lists this ribosomal RNA (318 nucleotides) under uncultured Pseudomonadota bacterium. Its description in RNAcentral is "bacterial SSU rRNA". It matches the Rfam family "Bacterial small subunit ribosomal RNA", at positions 30 to 351 of the family's 1533-position model. The record is from RNAcentral. Lineage: Bacteria; Pseudomonadati; Pseudomonadota.
AUUGAACGCUGGCGGCAUGCCUUACACAUGCAAGUCGAACGCGAAAGGGGGCAACCCCGAGUAGAGUGGCGAACGGGUGAGUAAAACAUCGGAACACUUCCUGUAGCGGGGGACAACCUCGAGAAAUCGAGGCUAAUACCGCAUACGAUCUACGGAUGAAAGUGGGGGACCGCAAGGCCUCACACUAUAGGAGUGGCCGAUGCCGGAUUAGCUAGUUGGUGGGGUAACGGCCCACCAAGGCGACGAUCCGUAGCUGGUUUGAGAGAACGACCAGCCACACUGGGACUGAGACACGGCCCAGACUCCUACGGGUGGCAG